GGCUCUAUCACCGACUGGCUUUGGGUCUGCAGGCAAGUCAUUUAACCUCUCUAUACCUCUGUUUCCUCAUUUAUAAAAUGAAGAUCAUGAUAGUUCCUACCUCAUGGACUUGCAAGAGUUAACUGUAACUGUAAAAUACUUAGUGCAAUUUCUGGCAAAUGGUUAGUGUUCAAGAAAUGUCAACUAUUACUAUUAUGUGACCUAGGAAGAUGUGUUUGCCACAUCUGUUCCCCUACCUACACACACACACACACACACACACACACACACACACAAACACACACACACACACACACAUAUUUUCUUCCCCACUUUGUGCUAUUUUAUUCCUUAAUAAAUACUUGUUGAAUGUGUUAUGAAUGGACCAUUUGCUUUCAGUUUUCAGUUCAAUAAACCUUAAUUAAACCCACACCAUGUACCAGACACUAUGGUAAUGAGACAACAAAAUGAAUAAAAUGUAGUCUCUGUUCUUCAUCUUACAGCGUAGGAGAGACUUAAUUAAUAACUUCACAUUUGCACACGUUGACAGGGAAGGGGCACUUGAGAAUCACUGGAGACUUCCUGGAGGUGGCAAUCACUGACUUGAAUCUUGAACCAUGUGUAAGAGUUGGGCAGGUGAAGAAUGACACCGGACUCUUUCCUGCUUUGGCAUAUGCCCUGAGUGCUUGGAAAUCCCUAAAUGGACCAGAGCAAGGACACUCCGUAGCGGCUGAACACGAAGACGGCACUCCACUGGGAUGACCUUUGAUUCUUGGCAGAGGAUAGCGAUUUCACUGAGGGAAUUCACUCCGGUUGAUGAGUCUCCAGUGUUUGUCGAGAUCUCUGUGGAAACAAACAUUCAGAGGGUCUUUGUGGAAGAGUCCAGAAAUAAUUGAGUAAGCCAGGAGACCCUUAUUCCACCCCCUGCAAAAAAUGUCAGGUUACACUUUCUUUUAAGGGCUCCUUAAUUGAUGGCCUUGUACAAAUAAUUACCAUUUCCCAGCACUUUCCCUUUUGCCGAGAAAAAUACAAAAGGAAAGUCAACCGAAUCAAGACAUAAAUUCAUUUUUACAGCUGAAUAAGCUUUGUCUUUGGUUGUUUUAAAAAUGAAAUAAAUGGGAAAAUAUUUGUUAGAGAAUAAUAAACACGCCCAGGUAUUUGCUGCUCUUCUCGGGCCAGGCUGGGAUUGAAGUGGCUCGGUAAGACCACCUGUGUUUCUUGGUGCAAACCCAGCAGAGCUUCAGAAUUUGUAUAGUUGGUCUCAGUCCAGCGACCUGGCUACAUUCUUGGAUCUCUUACUCAACAUGAGGCAUCAAGAUCACUGGAAACUUUAACAAAAACAUCAACAACUGGAAGAGCCAGUUAGCCUAUGGUCUGACCCCCAGCCUGCACACCCUCACAUCAAUCUACUUCUAAUCUUCUGGGAAAUUAGUUCAGUGUUCAAGGCAGGAGAAGGGGCAACCUGAGGGUCCAGAUGCUCAGUCUCCCUUAGGAAAUGAAGAAUCUACAAUCACCCCAAAGCGUACAUUUAGAGGGUUGCGUUUCAGUCUGCUUUCCACUUGGCCAAAUAGAUGCCUUCAUAAUAACUCUAAAAGCAUCGAAGAAAAAGCAGCACACUCUGUAGGAUUCCACAAUGGAAUCCAAUAAAAGAAACAUAACUCAAAAUCGUUUCAGAAGCAAUUAAUACGUUGCUACUCAGAAGCAGCUCCUCAAGGAAAUUUGCUCUUCAGCCCAAUAAUCUAAAACACAUCCUGAAAACAGUAGCUGAGGAGGAAGGAAGACGAGGACGAAUCUUAUUUUCUACUUGUCAUUUUGGUACACUUCACAAUAUUUGGAUACUUUCUGAAUCAGCUAUUGUAGAUGUUUUUAUCCAAGUUCCCAAAGGUCUACUUAGUUUAACUACCUUUACCUAAAGAUGGCAAAAAGGCCACGUGACCUUUAACAGUAGCACUGUUGAGCCAGCCAGCUUUGGUCUUAGCACCAUCUUCCAGAACCCAGUUAUGUGACUGUGGGCAGGUAAAUUGAACCCUUUUCGCUCAGUUUUCACAUAAAAAUGAAAAGAUAGGAUAAGAUUCUGGUUUCCCACAGUGUGUCUCAUGAAGAAACAUGAGAUUUACAUGGAGGAAGAUUUUUGCUUUUAUUUAGAAAUACUGUAC
Molecule: long non-coding RNA, 2135 nt
Organism: Felis catus (domestic cat)
Lineage: Eukaryota; Metazoa; Chordata; Mammalia; Carnivora; Felidae
Exons: 3
Source: RefSeq, a predicted model, not a curated record